This is a non-coding RNA of Microcebus murinus (gray mouse lemur), 3911 nucleotides long. Lineage: Eukaryota; Metazoa; Chordata; Mammalia; Primates; Cheirogaleidae. The record is from RefSeq and is a predicted model, not a curated record.
GCACCCCAGAGUGGCACCGUGUUCUUGAACGUGUUCCUGAACCUUUCUGUACCUCAGAAUCACCAGGGGAACUUUUCCAGCAUGGAGAUUCUCAGACCUCAGCUCUACAUUUUAAUUUUGCAUUUUAAGGUGGGGAACCCAGACAUCUGUACACUUAAUAAGCACUUGAAGUAAUUAAAAACUUCUGGUCAAGCGAACAGUGUCACAAAAUAUGAGAGAAGCUGAAGUUCUUGUUAACUCUGUCCCACUUCAACUUCAAUGUUAGGGAAAGACCCACAGACUAUGCAGAAUUCUUUAUGAGAAUAAUUGUAGACCAUAAGUAGAUAUAUUACAUUAGUUUCUUACCCAAAGGAAAGUUCAAUUUGAAAAUCAAGAUUUUAGAAAAAAAUUAAUUAGGUACUGCUGUGGAAUUAUUAUUAUCUCUAGUAAGAGGUCUCCAGUUAUCUCUGGGGACAGCUAUGGCUAAAACUCCAUCAUACUUAGACAGAGUAAGGGUUACUAUGCUUAGUCACAUGGAAUGUCAAAGGGUCUCUCUGCACACUUCAAAAAUGACAAACAGUUGAAAAGAAAAUCCUCCUUCCAUCUUCCGUUCAACCACAUUAGAGUAAAUGCUUACUCAUGCCAUGAAGGAAACAUCUGCUUCCACUAUAAGAGGCUAUUAAUUCAGGUAGAGGGAUUUUGAGCCUAAAUAUUGUAUGGGUUUCUGUCUUAGUUCUGGCUGCUGUAACAGAGUACCAUAGACUGGGUAGCUUGUAAACAACAGAAAUGUAUUUCUCCCAAUUCUGGAGGCUGGAAGUCUAAGAUCAGGGUACGAGCAUGGUUGGGGUCUGAUGAGGGCUCCCUUUCAGGUUGCAGACAGCUGAUUUCUCCUUGUACCCUCACAUGGCAGAAAGAGGGCGAGCUAGCUCUCUGGAGUCUUGUAAGGGCACUAAUCCCAUUUACAAGGGCUCUGCACCCAUGACUUAAUCAUUUCCCCAAGGUCCCACCUCCAAAUAUCAUCCCAUUGGGAAUUCAAUUUCGAUAUAUGAAUUGGGGGGUGGGGCAUAAAGAUUCAGUUCAUGACAGCUUCCAUCUCACAUUUGGUUUGCAACUAACAAGUAGGGUGACCAACUGUCCUGGAUAAACUGGGGCUGAGGAUUUCUCAGCAUGUGGGACUUUUAAUUGUAAAAAUGGGACAAUCCUGGGCAAACCAAGCCAGUUGGUUACCCUCUGUAUAGCCCCAAGCUGCCUUGUAGCCAGCUCCUUCUCCAUCACUUCUUUCUAAAGGGCCCUGCAUCCCUCAAAUCCCUUGUCCAUGUCCCCACCCUACCCAACCUCAGCCUGUGGAUUUGGUAUGUGAGCAUCUUUCUUCUCCUGAACUAUAUUGGAUGGAGCCGACUGGCCCCAGAUCAUGAGUUACAUGUCACAUGUGGUCUGUGAGCCUCUUCCUGUUGAUGAAAUUGAAGUAGAGUCAGAGAAAAUCUGACAUUCUCUCCCAAUUGAAUACAGUGACUACUUGACCAGUGGUUCCCAGCAUUUGGGAGUAUUUGUGAAAUAUAUAGAUUCUAGGACUUGUACCCUAGAGGCCUGAGAAUCUCCAUGUUGGAAAAGCUUCCUGGUAAUUAUGAUGUGUAAGAAAGUUCUGGAACACUAGAACACAGUGCCCCCUCCAGGGGUGCCAUGAAGUGUGUUCUGGCUGCGGAUGCAAUUUACAAUUGGAUUUCUAGAACAGGGGAGGCUUUCAGGUAUCUCAUAGGAGUGAUCUUUACAACCCAUAAACCCAAGUUAUUCUCAAGACAUGCAAACUGCUAUAUUUUGUUCAGAUCAUCAUUUCAGAUGUACACUGCAAAAGUUAAACAGCUUUACUUAAGGCAUGCUCUAAUCAAGUCAAAAACUCUGAGUGCCAGAGGACAUCUAUGUGCAUGGCUGGCUUAUUCCUCUCUGACCUGCUAGAUAGGACUAGAGGAAUGGAGAAGAAAAGAAGUGGUCCGUGGAACAGAAGAGAGAAGAUGAAAGUCUGAAGGGACAAGAUCUCCAAGUAGAAGGGAAAAGCAACUGCUGUAAAUAGAGGCCAAGAAGGCAGAGUGGGAGGAACUCCACAGACCAGCUGUCCUCAGUUCUUGACCAACUGGUACGAGUGACGCUGCCACACGCAAACCUGGCGAUCUCUCAGUUAUUUUGGAUAAAGUGAAAAACUAAACUUCAAAGCAGCCUAGAACAUGCCUCUAGGAUGCCCAGUAGGUUCAAUUUACAGCUAAAAUGUUUCUACUCUAUUCUAUAAACUCAAAGAGCACCCAUAAUGGUGUCUUUAGAAUAGAACUGCACUGUUUCUUAUAUUCUUUCCAUUCAAGAAAUGCUUUUAUCUUCCUGCUCUAAGUGCUCAUAAAAAGAGCAAAUACGGUGUCAGAGAAUUUAUGUUUGCUCUUUUCAGAUAUAUUAGGUUUUAUUAGUUACUGGGUGAAAUAGUAUAGCCAGUGUGACUGUAUUAACUUUCCUCAUGAAGAACAGUGUGACUUGAAUUUCUCCACCUUCACAAACCAUUUCCUUUUCCUCUCUACAUCUCACAGAGUCAGGAAAGAGGCAACAGGGUGAGAAGGAUAGAGUAUCACUAUCCUUUAGACUCUCACUGCUGAGUCUAGCAAUUUCUUCUCCCUUACAAAAGAUGAUGCCAUCUUUUCCCAUUCCAUGCCAUGGACAUAUAGGACACAGUGACUUCCAUCUGCACUGGUUCCUUCCUCAACAUCAGUGGCCCUUACAUACUCAGUUACUUCAAAGUCCAGGCUGCUAAUCGUGCUAAUAUCUAGACUCAUAAUUCUUCAAGUGCUUCAAUUUCAAUGCUACUUCCACUUAACCAUGGCUGGCCAUCUCAGCAGGUUGCCACAAAUUUCCAGGACCUCAAACCUUCUAAACAUCACUUCUAUCUCUUCCACUCCCUGAAAAUGAACUUAUCCUGUUCUCCUUAUUAUAUUAAGCUUCUGGGCUUCUCUAUGUUCUUACAAUCAAUCAUCCCACUUAAACUCCUUACUUCGUGGGAAGCAUAUGAUGCAGAGAUAGACAUUUUUCUCCGAAGUUUGAUUCUGGGGAUACCAAAAAGUCAGCAUGCCCACCUAGAAGUAUUUCUCCCAAUGACCCAUUGAGUCUCAGCUCCCUCAAAAUCCUCUUCAUUAGAACUGUAGAGUUUAUUAGUGGGCAAAAGACUGAUGUAACAUUUGCUCACUUUCCCAUUCCAAGAUUUAGCAUCUGCUUCUUUGUGCUUGACACGUCUCUCUUGGGUAAACCCCUUAACUCUAUAACAAGAUUUUUUUUUUUUUCAGAUUUAUAAACUGGCUCCUUAGGCCUGGACAGGAUAAACUGUAAAAUCAGUCCAUGCCAGCACAAGACAGUUCCAAAGCCAAUAAGCCUCAGAGAUGAGGGAAAUAAGGAAUUAUGUAAAGACACCAAAGCUUCUCCUUCAGGGUCAACUGGCUUGUGGCCAACCUUACUUCUAUGACCUUGGAAUUCCAGAUAAAGAGUGAAAUGGAACCAAACUCACAUUCACUCAACUGAUAACUUGUUUUAUCCAAAAGUUAAGUGUAGAAUACCUUCAAAGUUAUCUACCAGAUAAGAAAAUAAAAUAUUUUUCCUCAGCACAAGGUCAUGAGCAGCUUUUGAGGUGACCCAGUCCUUUUAUGGGAAUGAUGACAUAAAAGCCGGGUUGGAUGAGUAGAAUGGCAGAAUGAUAAAGAAGGCUCAGAGUGACCCCAAGUUUCAGCCUGCUCCCCAGGAUGACUGUAUCACUCCAGACACUCAACUGACCCCAAUUCUUCACUUACAGACGAGAUGGGGUGCGUUCAGGGUGGUAUGUCCAUCACUUAAUGAUACUGCGGCCUCUCUCUCAUGUCAGACUGAUAAAUAAUUAUGCCAAACACACAUGUCACUUUUACAGCAUUAUU